AUUGAACGCUGGCGGCAGGCUUAACACAUGCAAGUCGAACGAUGAUUAUCUAGCUUGCUAGAUAUGAUUAGUGGCGGACGGGUGAGUAACAUUUAGGAAUCUGCCUAGUAGUGGGGGAUAGCUCGGGGAAACUCGAAUUAAUACCGCAUACGACCUACGGGUGAAAGGGGGCGCAAGCUCUUGCUAUUAGAUGAGCCUAAAUCAGAUUAGCUAGUUGGUGGGGUAAAGGCCCACCAAGGCGACGAUCUGUAACUGGUCUGAGAGGAUGAUCAGUCACACCGGAACUGAGACACGGUCCGGACUCCUACGGGAGGCAGCAGUGGGGAAUAUUGGACAAUGGGGGCAACCCUGAUCCAGCCAUGCCGCGUGUGUGAAGAAGGCCUUUUGGUUGUAAAGCACUUUAAGCAGGGAGGAGAGGCUAAUGGUUAAUACCCAUUAGAUUAGACGUUACCUGCAGAAUAAGCACCGGCUAACUCUGUGCCAGCAGCCGCGGUAAUACAGAGGGUGCGAGCGUUAAUCGGAAUUACUGGGCGUAAAGCGAGUGUAGGUGGCUCAUUAAGUCACAUGUGAAAUCCCCGGGCUUAACCUGGGAACUGCAUGUGAUACUGGUGGUGCUAGAAUAUGUGAGAGGGAAGUAGGAUUCCAGGUGUAGCGGUGAAAUGCGUAGAGAUCUGGAGGAAUACCGAUGGCGAAGGCAGCUUCCUGGCAUAAUAUUGACACUGAGAUUCGAAAGCGUGGGUAGCAAACAGGAUUAGAUACCCUGGUAGUCCACGCCGUAAACGAUGUCUACUAGCCGUUGGGGUCCUUGAGACUUUAGUGGCGCAGUUAACGCGAUAAGUAGACCGCCUGGGGAGUACGGCCGCAAGGUUAAAACUCAAAUGAAUUGACGGGGGCCCGCACAAGCGGUGGAGCAUGUGGUUUAAUUCGAUGCAACGCGAAGAACCUUACCUGGUCUUGACAUAGUGAGAAUCCUGCAGAGAUGCGGGAGUGCCUUCGGGAAUUCACAUACAGGUGCUGCAUGGCUGUCGUCAGCUCGUGUCGUGAGAUGUUGGGUUAAGUCCCGCAACGAGCGCAACCCUUUUCCUUAUUUGCCAGCGGGUUAAGCCGGGAACUUUAAGGAUACUGCCAGUGACAAACUGGAGGAAGGCGGGGACGACGUCAAGUCAUCAUGGCCCUUACGACCAGGGCUACACACGUGCUACAAUGGUAGGUACGGAGGGUUGCUACACAGCGAUGUGAUGCUAAUCUCAAAAAGCCUAUCGUAGUCCGGAUUGGAGUCUGCAACUCGACUCCAUGAAGUCGGAAUCGCUAGUAAUCGCAGAUCAGAAUGCUGCGGUGAAUACGUUCCCGGGCCU
RNAcentral lists this ribosomal RNA (1355 nucleotides) under uncultured bacterium. Its description in RNAcentral is "bacterial SSU rRNA". It matches the Rfam family "Bacterial small subunit ribosomal RNA", at positions 28 to 1381 of the family's 1533-position model. The record is from RNAcentral.